This 253-nucleotide ribosomal RNA is filed under the name uncultured bacterium. RNAcentral describes it as "partial 16S ribosomal RNA". It matches the Rfam family "Bacterial small subunit ribosomal RNA", at positions 524 to 776 of the family's 1533-position model. The record is from RNAcentral.
UACAGAGGGUGCAAGCGUUAAUCGGAAUUACUGGGCGUAAAGCGCACGUAGGCGGUUUUUUAAGUCAGAUGUGAAAGCCCCGGGCUCAACCUGGGAAUUGCAUUUGAAACUGGGGAACUAGAGUGUGUGAGAGGGUGGUGGAAUUUCCUGUGUAGCGGUGAAAUGCGUAGAUAUAGGAAGGAACACCAGUGGCGAAGGCGACCACCUGGACUGAUACUGACACUGAGGUGCGAAAGCGUGGGGAGCAAACAGG